RNAcentral lists this ribosomal RNA (722 nucleotides) under uncultured Fusobacterium sp. RNAcentral describes it as "bacterial SSU rRNA". It matches the Rfam family "Bacterial small subunit ribosomal RNA", at positions 28 to 776 of the family's 1533-position model. Lineage: Bacteria; Fusobacteriati; Fusobacteriota; Fusobacteriia; Fusobacteriales; Fusobacteriaceae. The record is from RNAcentral.
GAUGAACGCUGACAGAAUGCUUAACACAUGCAAGUCAACUUGAACUUCGGUUUGGGUGGCGGACGGGUGAGUAACGCGUAAAGAACUUGCCUCACAGAUAGGGACAACAUUUGGAAACGAAUGCUAAUACCUGAUAUUAUGAUUUUAGGGCAUCCUAGGAUUAUGAAAGCUAUAUGCGCUGUGAGAGAGCUUUGCGUCCCAUUAGCUAGUUGGAGAGGUAACGGCUCACCAAGGCGAUGAUGGGUAGCCGGCCUGAGAGGGUGAUCGGCCACAAGGGGACUGAGACACGGCCCUUACUCCUACGGGAGGCAGCAGUGGGGAAUAUUGGACAAUGGACCAAGAGUCUGAUCCAGCAAUUCUGUGUGCACGAUGAAGUUUUUCGGAAUGUAAAGUGCUUUCAGUUGGGAAGAAAAAAAUGACGGUACCAACAGAAGAAGUGACGGCUAAAUACGUGCCAGCAGCCGCGGUAAUACGUAUGUCACAAGCGUUAUCCGGAUUUAUUGGGCGUAAAGCGCGUCUAGGUGGUUAUAUAAGUCUGACGUGAAAAUGCAGGGCUCAACUCUGUAUUGCGUUGGAAACUGUGUAACUAGAGUACUGGAGAGGUAAGCGGAACUACAAGUGUAGAGGUGAAAUUCGUAGAUAUUUGUAGGAAUGCCGAUGGGGAAGCCAGCUUACUGGACAGAUACUGACGCUGAAGCGCGAAAGCGUGGGUAGCAAACAGG